UAAAAAUCAGAGUGUAAUGUCGCUCUGGAUAAGAGCGUCUGCUAAAUGACGUAAA
Molecule: non-coding RNA, 55 nt
Organism: Salmo salar (Atlantic salmon)
Lineage: Eukaryota; Metazoa; Chordata; Actinopteri; Salmoniformes; Salmonidae
Source: Rfam